RNAcentral lists this transfer RNA (77 nucleotides) under Paludibacter sp. 47-17. RNAcentral describes it as "tRNA-His". It matches the Rfam family "tRNA". From Rfam's summary of the family: Transfer RNA (tRNA) molecules are approximately 80 nucleotides in length. Their secondary structure includes four short double-helical elements and three loops (D, anti-codon, and T loops). The record is from RNAcentral. Lineage: Bacteria; Pseudomonadati; Bacteroidota; Bacteroidia; Bacteroidales; Paludibacteraceae.
GUGGUUAUAGCUCAGUUGGUUAGAGCGUCGGAUUGUGGUUCCGAAGGUCGCGGGUUCGAGCCCCGUUUUCCACCCCU